AGUUUGCGUGAGGGAUAGAAGUGAAAAGCCCGCAGACCAAUGCAGUGAAACGAAAUUGGUCGAGGACUUGUAACGGAUAGCCCGACCGAAG
Molecule: unclassified non-coding RNA, 91 nt
Filed under: Flavobacterium chilense
Lineage: Bacteria; Pseudomonadati; Bacteroidota; Flavobacteriia; Flavobacteriales; Flavobacteriaceae
Description: Flavo-1 RNA
Source: RNAcentral